This 406-nucleotide ribosomal RNA is filed under the name uncultured bacterium. RNAcentral's name for it is "partial 16S ribosomal RNA". It matches the Rfam family "Bacterial small subunit ribosomal RNA", at positions 30 to 526 of the family's 1533-position model. The record is from RNAcentral.
AUUGAACGCUGGCGGCAGGCUUAACACAUGCAAGUCGAACGAGCGGCGGACGGGUGAGUAAUGUCUGGGAAACUGCCUGAUGGAGGGGGAUAACUACUGGAAACGGUAGCUAAUACCGCGUACCAUCAGAUGAGCCCAAGUGGGAUUAGCUAGUUGGUGGGGUAAUGGCUCACCUAGGCGACGAUCCCUAGCUGGUCUGAGAGGAUGACCAGCCACACUGGAACUGAGACACGGUCCAGACUCCUACGGGAGGCAGCAGUGGGGAAUAUUGCGCAAUGGGGGCAAGCCUGACGCAGCCAUGCCGCGUGAGUGAAGAAGGCCUUCGGGUUGUAAAGUUCUUUCAGCGGGGAGGCGUUAACUGCAGAAGAAGCACCGGCUAACUCCGUGCCAGCAGCCGCGGUAAUAC